AUUGGUAAAAGUAGUUCAGUAGCAUGAUUAUCUAUUAACAUCGGUUGUAAUCUCUUUCUGAUACCAUAUACCGCAUAUGGUCUUAAUUAAUCAGGAUCGCAUACUCAACAAGAAGAAAAAAGAGUUGUACACUCUGCUCGCCGAUGUACACCGGAGCGAAAACUGCAAGCUCCGGUGGCCAGACAGAGCGCUGCUCCGACAACUUCUUUUCGUUGUCGAGGCAGAUGACACGGAAUUAGAGUUGGUCAUCUGUCAAUGUGUAGGUUUCAUGAUUAAGUUUUUCAGAAGGGGACUUGUUGCCUACCUUGGUUAUAAAGCGGGACAAUCGGACUUGUUUGGAGUAGGCUCAUGAUCAAGCAGUUUUCUUCUUCCUAACGUGUAUCGGUAUAUAGUAUAUACACACUAGCUAGUUGGAUGUUGCAACAUGCCAUCAAUUUUUUAAGCCACUUUUUUUAAGAGAAUGAAUGCACGUGACUAUUCUGAAGUUUCGUUUUGGUUACUUGUCU
Lolium perenne is the source of this 506-nucleotide long non-coding RNA. RefSeq lists it as uncharacterized. Lineage: Eukaryota; Viridiplantae; Streptophyta; Magnoliopsida; Poales; Poaceae. The record is from RefSeq and is a predicted model, not a curated record.